This 497-nucleotide ribosomal RNA is filed under the name uncultured bacterium. Its description in RNAcentral is "partial 16S ribosomal RNA". It matches the Rfam family "Bacterial small subunit ribosomal RNA", at positions 28 to 507 of the family's 1533-position model. The record is from RNAcentral.
GAUGAACGCUGGCGGCGUGCCUAAUACAUGCAAGUCGAGCGAACAGACGAGGAGCUUGCUCCUUUGACGUUAGCGGCGGACGGGUGAGUAACACGUAGGUAACCUACCUAUAAGACUGGGAUAACUUCGGGAAACCGGAGCUAAUACCGGAUAAUAUUUCGAACCGCAUGGUUCGAUAGUGAAAGAUGGCUUUGCUAUCACUUAUAGAUGGACCUGCGCCGUAUUAGCUAGUUGGUAAGGUAACGGCUUACCAAGGCAACGAUACGUAGCCGACCUGAGAGGGUGAUCGGCCACACUGGAACUGAGACACGGUCCAGACUCCUACGGGAGGCAGCAGUAGGGAAUCUUCCGCAAUGGGCGAAAGCCUGACGGAGCAACGCCGCGUGAGUGAUGAAGGUCUUCGGAUCGUAAAACUCUAUUAUUAGGGAAGAACAAACGUGUAAGUAACUGUGCACGUCGUGACGGUACCUAAUCAGAAAGCCACGGCUAACUACGUG